AGUGAACGCUGGCGGUAGGCCUAACACAUGCAAGUCGAACGGCAGCACAGUAAGAGCUUGCUCUUACGGGUGGCGAGUGGCGGACGGGUGAGGAAUACAUCGGAAUCUACUUUUUCGUGGGGGAUAACGUAGGGAAACUUACGCUAAUACCGCAUACGACCUACGGGUGAAAGCAGGGGAUCUUCGGACCUUGCGCGAUUGAAUGAGCCGAUGUCGGAUUAGCUAGUUGGCGGGGUAAAGGCCCACCAAGGCGACGAUCCGUAGCUGGUCUGAGAGGAUGAUCAGCCACACUGGAACUGAGACACGGUCCAGACUCCUACGGGAGGCAGCAGUGGGGAAUAUUGGACAAUGGGCGCAAGCCUGAUCCAGCCACACCGCGUGGGUGAAGAAGGCCUUCGGGUUGUAAAGCCCUUUUGUUGGGAAAGAAAAGCAGCAGGUUAAUACCCCGCUGUUCUGACGGUGCCCAAAGAAUAAGCACCGGCUAACUUCGUG
Molecule: ribosomal RNA, 492 nt
Filed under: uncultured bacterium
Lineage: Bacteria
Description: partial 16S ribosomal RNA
Rfam family: Bacterial small subunit ribosomal RNA
Source: RNAcentral